CUCCUACCUCAGCCUUCGGAGUAGCUGGGAUUACAGGCAUAAGCCACCGCGCCCGGCCUUCCAGCUGAUACCUUAAAAGAACUUUUCAACUUUAGUAAAUACCCUGUUUUAAUGAAAUCUCAUUGAAAGUACCCCAUGUUUAUCAUCAAAUGAAAAUCCUUUGACGACUUCCAAGUUCUUACAGAAAAAUAUUCUGCCUUUCCAUACAAAGCUGUUGGACUUCAAUACAUGAGGACUUGGACUUGGUGGGCACAGAAUGCAUCUUCUUAUAUCAUUAAAUCCACCAGAACACCUAGCAUGGUCAUUUGCCUAAAACAAAGCCUCUGGAAAUUUAGUCAAGUUGAGAUUUAAAAUAAAAGAUUACUGAACAGAA
Macaca mulatta (Rhesus monkey) is the source of this 373-nucleotide RNA transcript. It is a transcript of the gene named histone H3.1, with no coding region annotated. Lineage: Eukaryota; Metazoa; Chordata; Mammalia; Primates; Cercopithecidae. The record is from RefSeq and is a predicted model, not a curated record.